GGUAAACCGAGGUUCCCCUUGUAGAGGGUACCCAUAGGGACUCUCAUGCCAAAUAUCAGCCCAUUUGGUUAAGAAUUGGCCUGUCCCCAGCGGUUUAAAGUUUACAUGGAAAUUACUAUGGGAUUUUUGUGCUUUUCGUUCAAUCGAUCCUACAGGCCAGGGGACAACAUGGAUUCACUCGGAAUAAAGACAGGUGUGUAGGGGAUGGUCCAAUGAACACAUUCCAGAAGGAAAAAGGGUUGUCCGUUCUGUCCCCAAGGUGCGCAUUGGAUCGACGUCCGGUGUCUCAAAAACUACGAAUGCCGACGCCAAUUGAGCUUUUAUUUUCAAUGGUUACUACGUAGUCGUGAUGUGUUUUGAAUGGUAAACAUGAAACAAAUGUCAGAACGUCUCAAUGGAAGCAGAAAGCUUUAGUUUGCGGUCCUGGAACCAGGCUAUCCUGGUGGGAAAUCUGGAGUGAAAUCUGCCCCUGCAUCGCACCCCGACGAACAGAGAGCUUUUAAGCGCUCUUUUGCACCGGAAUCGAUACGACAAGCUUUCGAUCAAGAAUGCCGCCUUGGAAAUCUCCCGGUUGGCGGAAAGUGCUUUAAAUGUACCACGAAGAAAGAUCAAUGCCCAUUUGCAAGAUUUGUACGACACUUGGAGAGGAAUUUACAAGCAACAAUCCCGAACCACUUCGAAAUCGGAGGAGGAUAGAACUCAUUUCAGGACGGAACUAUCUCCUGCUCGUCAUCCCGUCCGAUCUCGCCUGCUCGCCAUCCCGUCCGAUCUCGCCAGCUCGCCAUCGAGCGUAGUCCUGUCCAAGUCAACGUCCAGCAACAAGUCCGAUCUCGCCAGCCCGUCAUCGAGCGUGGUCCUGGCGUCAUGUGCAAGUCCGAUGUCACCAUUCAGCGUAGUCAUGAUUCUUCGAAAUCGUCAUCCGACUUGGUCCUGCCCAGCGCAGCCUCAAAUAAAAAAUUUCAUUUACUUAUUGUUGUGUUUCUGUUUUUACUUCAUAUUACAAAUACAUAAGAAGAUUAACAAUUUCUUACAUUAACCGUA
Long non-coding RNA from Culex pipiens pallens (northern house mosquito), 1041 nucleotides. RefSeq lists it as uncharacterized. The transcript is spliced from 2 exons. The record is from RefSeq and is a predicted model, not a curated record. Lineage: Eukaryota; Metazoa; Arthropoda; Insecta; Diptera; Culicidae.